This 269-nucleotide ribosomal RNA is filed under the name unidentified soil organism R6-9. RNAcentral describes it as "partial 16S ribosomal RNA". It matches the Rfam family "Bacterial small subunit ribosomal RNA", at positions 1223 to 1500 of the family's 1533-position model. The record is from RNAcentral.
UGCNACAAUGGCCGGUACAGAGAGCAGCCACUGGGUGACCAGGAGCGAAUCUAUAAAUCCGGUCACAGUUCGGAUCGGAGUCUNCAACUCGACUCCGUGAAGCUGGAAUCGCUAGUAAUCGGAUAUCANCCAUGAUCCGGUGAAUACGUUCCCGGGCCUUGUACACACCGCCCGUCAAGCCAUGGAAGCUGGGGGUGCCUGAAGUCGGUGACCGCAAGGAGCUGCCUAGGGUAAAACUGGUAACUAGGGCUAAGUCGUAACAAGUUACC